CUCCGUUUUAACUUCAUACGUGCUGCAUUGUUUAAGCCUGGAGCUUGUGCUGCACAACGUGAAAAGUGAAGAGACAGUGACUGACAGCCCUAGCUCCAUUCUAUACAUACAUAUACAAUACAUCUCUGCACCUUCUCCCCUGUAGUCUCUGAUAAGCCUCCUAUUGCUAUGGCUUUCAGUCCAUGCCUCCCUCAAUCUCUCCUCUGGUGAUAGCUUUCCACUGCAGUUGCAUCCAGGAAGGAACUGAAACAGCUGUUACCCAGCCAGGUAGGACUUUGUCUGAUACUCUCCAUUUAUGGAAACUGAUCUAAAGUGUUUAGUAGCUAUAUCUUACCUUUAGCACUGCAGUACUUGCUGACUACAGUUCAUGUGAGACUCUGACAGCUAUACAGCUGGCUAAGUGUCUUGAGAAAUAGCAUGUACUUGAACUGGACUGUUACUGCUAAUAUAUAAGGAUCAUGAAGCAUAAAAAGUAAUAUUUUAUAAAGUAAUAAAAUUAAGAAAAUCAUCCACUUGGUGACACUGUAAGUAAUAACAACUUUAACAUAUAUUGAUAGAAUAUAGGUAUUAGCACAUUAAGUGGGCAAAGUCCAUCAGGUUAGAGGCAAAGUAAGAGGGGUUGGAUCAAGUUCUAUGAGUGGAGUCUACUAUGCCACAAAAAAAAAAUCAUCAUUAGACGCCACGGAAAAUAAUUCAAAAAAUAUUAACCGUGUUAUUACAUACUUGCAGUACAGACUCAGAAGAGGUUACACUGACCCACUUGUGCCUCCCCUACCCCAAGCAUUAUAAUAUUGCCAGAGUGCCAGGCAGUGCAUUAGCUACUUUCCAGCCACAGAAUACUUGGUUGCUUCAGAAUGUCAAAUGUGUAGGGAAUGUGGCUUUAGGAGAUGUGGUUUGGUAGGCAGACAGGGGAGGUACAAUCACAUACUUGAACCCAGGCAGCAUAAUGUGUUGGGUCAGCCCUUGGGCAGAUUAGAUGGGCCGGGCCGAAUGGUUCUUAUCUGCCGUCACAUUCUAUGUUGCUAUGUUUCUUCAAACAUUGGAUUAUUAUUGCGCGCAUAGGCAUGUGCACGGGUUGUGCCCGGUGUGCCUGGGCACACCCUAAUCCCUGCAGCCUGUGCUCUGUGCCUCCAUGGGCCGGUGAGGGAGAGCAAAGAUCUUUCUCACCGGCCCACAGGCAGGGAUGGAGUCAGGAGAGGACCCGGGUUGCUCCGCUGGGUUCCUCUCGCGAGGUCGGAGUGCUGUCGCGGCAACGCCCAGAUCUCGCGAGAGUGAACUCUAGCCCCACAGGGCUAAGAAGGGAGGGGGGCUAUUAACUAAAUGGUCACCCCACCCCCACGCAACACACACACACACACAGCACCCACACACAUACAGCACCCUCACACACACAUCACACUCACACACAGCACCCUCACACAUACACACACACAGCAAACAUUAAGAGCACCCUCACACACACAGCACCCUCACACAUACACACACACACUAACAGCGCCCUCACACUCACACAGCACCCUUACACACACACACACACUAGCAGCAUCCUUACACACACACACCAUCCUUACAAACACACACACACCACCCUCACAAACACACACACAGCAUCCUCAUACACACACAGCACCCCGCCCCACACAGCGCCACCCCCCACACACACACACACAGCAGUGUAUGUGUGUGUGUGUGUAUGUAUGUAUGUAUGUAUAUAUAUAUAUAUAUAUACAUAUAUAUAUAUAUAUUCCGCGUGUAUGUUUGUGCUUUAGGGUGCACACCGUCAGUGAAAUUUAUAAUUAAAUGCCUUUAAAAUACAAUGUUGGUGACAACCUAAGAUUAUUUAAACAAUCUAAAAUAAAGUACAGAAUUAGGGUAUGUUACAUUUAUUUUAAUUAAUAGUUUCAUAUAAUGAUAAUUAUUUUUUACAUGAGCAUCACUGUAUUAGUUAAGGAAUAUUUAUCUCAGGUCCCAUGAAGAAACAUGCUAAUUUUUACACCAGCCCUCCAGCACUCACAGGUAAACACAUGGAGCAUACCUUUAUAUCAAAUAGCCUACCAGCCUACAACACAAAUACAAAUAUCACACUAAUUGAAUGUGAAAAUGCAUAACUUACUUUCAAGACUGAUCACGAUACAAGAACCAAUGCAUCAUGAAGCUUAUGGUUGUGUUUUUGUUAAUUCAAUGUAUUUAAAGUAAAUAAAUAAAUACAAUGAUUUGUUUUACCGAAUCACCCUUUGUGCAACUUUCUACCAAUUGGCAGUGUUUCCUUUUUUGUUUUAAUUAUACAUUUAUGCAUGAUAUAAUAUGGCUACACAGCACUGAAAUUGAAAUUAAUAGUAUGACACCAUAAAAUCUAAAAGUUACUUACAGGUAGCUGUUUUUCUAGACAAAUGCUAAAGUUUUUGGUUUGGUUAGGUUUCAGCUUUUUCAACGGAAUUCUUGUUUCUCCAAUGAAUUCAUUGUGCCGGAAUUUAUCUUCAUCACAUACAGAAAUUCUAUGCAUAAAUCACAGAGAAAAGAAUAUUUAGCUUGCAAGAAACAUCUUUAGUAAAACAACAAUCAUAUGAUGAUAGUAUGAUGUAACACAAAUUAAAACCACAUCAUCUAUAGCAAAACUAAACUACCACUUAGUUUAGUGCAUCACCGCCUUAAUCAAUAAAUACAAAAGCUGUUAGCCAGGUUCAAUAUACUGUUGUACAAUCCUUGUACAGCAUAUUAUCUUGCAUCAAUACCCUGUUAAAAAUAUAAUUUUUUACGUCAGCAUCCAGACAAGUACAGUACGAUGCUUUGAGUGCUCCAAUUUUUGUAGACCUUCACGUGGAGACCACUUUUAACCCCUUAAGGACCAAACUUCUGGAAUAAAAGGGAAUCAUGACAUGUCACACAUGUCAUGUGUCCUUAAGGGGUUAAAGGGACACUAUAGUCACCAGAACAACUACAGCUUAAUGUAGUUGUACUGGUGAGAAUCAUUGCCUUCAGGCAUUUUCAUGCAAACACUGCCUUUUCAGAGAAAAGGCAGUGUUGACAUUGCCCUUAAAGGACCACUAUAGUGCCAGGAAAACAUACUCGUUUGUAUACCCCUCCCGCUGGGCUGGAUGGAGAGGAAAGGGGUUAAACUUUUUUUCCAGCGCCGGGCGGGGAGCUCUCCUCCUCUUCUCCACCUCCGAUCCUCCUCUUCGGCUGAAUGCGCAUGCACGACAAGAGCUGCGCGCGCAUUCAGCCUGUCUCAUAGGAAAGCAUUCAUAAUGCUUUCCUAUGGACGCUUGCGUCUUCUCACUGUGAUUUUCACAGUGAGAAGCACGCAAGCGCCUCUAGCGGCUGUCAAUGAGACAGCCACUAGAGGAUUUAGAGGCUGGAUUAACCCAUUUAUAAACAUAGCAGUUUCUCUGAAACUGCUAUGUUUAUAAAAAAAAGGGUUAAUCCUAGAGGGACCUGGCACCCAGACCACUUCAUUAAGCUGAAGUGGUCUGGGUGCCUAGAGUGGUCCUUUAAGGACACCUCCAAGUGGCCACUCCUCACAUGGCCACUGGAGGGGUUUCCAGGCUCAGUGCUGCACAGUAGGACGCUGAAUUUUCCUCAUAGAAAUGCAUCUCUAUGAGGAGGUGCUGAUUGGCCAAAACGGUGUUUGGCCCUGCCCUCUUGCCAAUUUUAGCCAAUCCAAUGCUUUCCCUGUGGGAAAGCAUUGGAUUGGCUAAAAAUCGGCAAUUCUGAUGAUGUCACCAAGGGGGCGAGGCCAGCACUGGCGGACUCGUGGAGAGCGUGGGAAAUUACUUUGCAAGAAAUAUAUGAGAACACAUUAUGUAUGUAUUUAUAUAUAAUGUGAGCUUUUUCUUGAUUAAUAUUUUUGUUCAGUUUUGUAAUUCACUAACAACUCACUAAUUCAUUAGUACAUUAUUAAUAGGACGAAAUGCAAUACAGUAGUAAUGAUUUGUUUAUUUCUAAUUUUGUGCCCAGUAUUGUAGCCUCUGCUUUGGCUUAAUAAAGAUGGCCGCAUAUUGUACAAAUUAAUUCAAUAUACUCCUACAUCUUUUAGAUCUCUGCUGUUUACUUCUACUGCUUUGGUAUAUUGUCUGUCUUGCAAACCAUGAUGAGUGGAUGGUACUUUCAAUAUUAUUUCAGUCUGCAUUUGAGUAUAAUAUCCAAUAAUACCAAUAACAUACUAUGUACAGUUAAAUCAAAUAUUUAUAAAAUAAAGGCGUUUAAAACAUUUUAUUUUCUGUUUUUCUAAAGUAUUGCUAAGAGGUGUAUGAGAGAUUCCAUUCAGUACAAAUUCCUGAUGGUAGAAUAUUAUAAUGUCGAUCAGAUUCGAGAACGGAAUGAUAAGAUUGGGCCUGCUGCCGGUCCCAAUAAUACUGGGUUUUCUGUGAUACCAGAUGAUGUUGAACCACUGGAUGAUACAGGUCUCAGUUCUCCAGGAGUUGUUGUUGAAGAACCAGUUCUGUGUGUUCCAUCUGACAGAGCACAGGAAGAAGGGAUGGGCACAACUGAAGGUCCAGGUGAAGCAGUUCCAAACAUGAUUUCGGGGCGCCCAAGACAAAAUAUUAAACCUCCCAGUUAUCUCAAAGACUUUGAGGUCUAGUGGGGAGGAGUGUUAUGUAUUGGGGUUUAUGCAGUCCACCUUCCAGUAGAUGGCAGCAUAGUGAAGUUAUGCACUUGUUCUGUUGUGUUAGUCUCUCUUUUGUAAUGUUAUUAUGUGUGUGUACUGAAGUAAAGAAAAGUUCUAUUUUACUACAAUGUCUGAGAGCCAUUUGUGAAUAUAUAACAUGCAAAUACUUUAAAAUGUACAUAAAUCUUUAGAUGGUAUAACACAGUAGACCUCAGAAUAACAAGAAAACAAAAUAAUAGUGCAGUACAGUUUGAUAUGAAUAGUAAUUGAUUUUGUGGCUCUGUAUAAAAUCCACUCACAUUUUAUUGAGCUAUAUUAGAGCUCAGCUGUAAUACGCAUGGACGGUAUAAUCCCCAUCUAAGGAUAUAUAGUGAUGUGGUCGACAUAGGUGCUCCAAAUGCGAUGCAAUAUACGUGGUAUUUGAAAAUAAGGUAAUGUACUUACAUUUUUGAGAGCAGAACUUGCUCUGGUAUAAACAGCAUAGGUGGUAUAAUCCCCAGCUAAGGAUAUGAUGGUACCAGGAAGCAAGAGGUAAAUAAAAGAUAAAUAACUAUAAAAAAAGUUAACUUUUAUUUAACCAUAAAAAAGUAUAAAGUAAUCUAAGAAGUCCCACUUGACGCGUUUCGCUUUACAAAGGCUUCUUCAGAAAUGUGGUUUAGUCCUUACUGAGUUCCGUUUAUAUAUGGGAGUCCUAAUUGUAGAUGGCUUCCUGGUGAGUCUAAUUUCCAGUUUCCUGUUUCCAGGCUGAAGCGCACAAGUCACACUGUAAGUGACGCGGCGGUGAUCAAUCAUUGAUGGUCUGGAUAGGCUAAUUUUGCGUCAAUUUGGAAUGCACGAAAUGCCACAAUGGUGUAGAUUGCAUUCCAAACGCCAAUGGUAUAGGUCUCUAUUGUGUCCAUGAAGGGCUGGCGUUAUUUUUAAUUGUAAACACUACCUCCUGCACAAUAAUUAAUUGGUGGUAUAGUAUCAUGGAAAAAGGAAAUGACGUGAUGCUUUAGGCUUGUAUUCUUACAAUAUGCCUGUAAAGCUGUAAUGGCUCAGCGGCUGUAUUUAAAGAAGGCAAAAGUUAGAUAGGUGUUACAAAUGUAUAUUUCUAUCUUUAUGUAAUUAAAUGAUGACAUUACUUAUAUGGUUGUAAAUUAUUAAUUAUUGACUGGAUCAAAGCCAGCUGAGAGAUAGGAGAACUGAAAGAGUUAGAGAGCCGGAUUAGUGAAUCUUCUCUUUGGAUGCUGCUCCCACCUAUCCCUUAUACACAAGUAUGUCCCGUCUAGGCCCUUACGAUCUGCUGAAGACUUACGUCUAUCUUUUGUCCGUACUCCCACCUCUGAUGCUCGCCUUCAAGAUUUCUCGAGGGCUGCAUCGUUCCUGUGGAACUCGCUUCCCUCCUCUGUUAGAUGCUCACCCAGUCUCCACUCCUUCAAAAAAUCAUUAAAAACCAACUUCUUAAUAGUUCCUGACUGAUUCCUCUUCUGCAACUGCCACUAGUCUAAUACUAUCCUUACCUUUUGUGUCAUUUUACCCCACUCCCUCUAGCAUGAAAGCUCAUUGAUCAGAGCCCUUAACCCCUCUGUUCGUGUGUGUCCAACUUGUCUGGUUACAACUACAUGUCUGUUCGUCCACCCAUUGUAAAGCGCUGCGGAAUUUGAUGGUGCUAUAUAAAUAUCAUAAUUAUAAUAAUAAUAAUAAUAAAACUGAUUUAAAAAAAAAAACUCUCUCCAACAAUGGUUGCAAUCUAAUAAUUUGGAAUUAUAAGUUAAUUUUUUUUUCUUCUUUUCUGUCACGUGAUCUAUCAGUUGAUUCUGUUUAUAACAAUUGCUACUAGUCUCUGGGAUAAAGUUUAUAUCUCCUAGGCAGGAGAAGAGAUAUUAAUUGCUUUAUACAUUUUUUAAGUAUAUUUUUUGGAAGGGAUAUGCAGUUUUAAAUUUACAAUAUACUCGUUUUUUUGCUAUAGGGAUUGAGACACCCUAAGGAAAUAGAUGCUGUGCUACAAAUUGUAUUGGGAUUACUUUUUAUUUUAUUUUUUUAUUUUUUUUCUUCCCUUUUCUUUCUUAGGAAAACUGAUACAGCAUGUCACAUUCAUGCACUAUAAACUCUUCCACUCAAACACCUUUUAUUCUAAAAUGUUGAACACUCCUACUUGCUCUAUUAUGUUAGAUAUGUUUCACUUUCUAAAUAUUUAUAUUGAGGAGUUUGCACCAAACUGCACUUGAUAUUGUUAGCAAUUUAAAACCUCAUCUAUUGUGAGGGAGUUUCUUCCCUGUUAUAUAUCAUUGUUGAAGAAGUUAACUGCACGAAGGUUAAAUAUGACACAUUUACCUUUCUUUUGCAUUCUUCUAUUUAUUUAUUUUUCUUUCCCGACACCCUAUCUUUCCCAUCUCCUUCCCUCUCUGUCAUAUGCAUGUACUAGGGCAGGAAGGACAUGGGAAGGAGUCAUGUGGGAAAUAUAUUUGUUUUUAAUGUUUCUCUCACUUGUGACUCACCAGUUGGAACUGUUUAUAAUUUUUAUUGGUAUUUGGAAUAACCCUGGAGAAUUUAGCAAAAUAUAUUUUAUUUUUUUUUAGGUAGGAGAAGUGAUAUCAGCUUCAUUAUGUAUCUUUGAGGUUGAUAUUUUCCUGAAGGGAUAUACAUUUCAAAACUACAAUGUAUUUGCUUUUCCCAUAGUGAGUGUGAUACUUUCAUGAAAUAGAUGCAGGGCCAAUAACUGUAUUAGGAUAUAUAUAUAUAUAUAUAUUUUUUUUUUCUUUAAGAAAAUUAAUAUAGGAUGUCACACAUAUGCACAAUAAAAACUUUUAAUCUAACAUUUUUAAUGUUAAAAUGAUGAAUGCGCUUAUGUGCUAUUUAAUGAGGGCUGUAUUUCACUUUUUACACAUCUACAGUGAGGAUAUUAAACAAAGUUAACUGCACUGGAUAUUGUUAGCAUUUUAAAAUUAAUAAUGCACUCUUUCUCCCUCUCCUGCUCUCCCUUUGAGGAGUUUUCACUAAAGGAAACUAAUUGCACUAAGAAGAAAUGUUAUAUAUUAACUAUAUUUUUUUUUACUAAACUACACAUUUAUGGUUUGAAGUUCAAAUAUAUAAUACUAUCCAACCAAAUUAUAAAAUCUAGCUAUAGAUGGAACCACAUUACAUAAAUGUAUUUAUCUAUGAGGAAUGGGCUCCAAAGGAGGAUGCAAGUACAAAGAUCUAGAUUGUGGUAUUUCAUUAAUGGAUAUCUGAUUUAUAAAAUAGGUAUGUGAGCACUAACAAACUUUAAAAAAAAAAAAAAAAAAAAGAAUAGAGAAGUAGGUUCUUCCAUAAUAAUUAGAUGAAUAUAAAUAUGGAAGUUAGUAUGUUUUUUUACAUAGUGCUUUUGCUUUAUUUUGUAAUUUUUUUUUACAUUUUAGUAUUUUUUCUCGUACCUGUAGCUUGGGAUUGCUCAUUUUUUAUUAUUGGAUUCUGAACGUCCUGCAUCAUCACGGCAGAUAGUGGUUUAUUUUGUAGACAGGUUAAAGCCUAUCUAUUUGGCGCUUUACCUAUCGGAGGAGAUUUUUUUUCCUUUGGGUCUAAGUGGGUGGGAAUAUGUAUGUUUAAUGUUUGUGUGCAAUAUUUUGUUAUGUGUUAUUAGGGUAGUCUCUGCAGAGGGAGUGCUGGUGAAGGGGUGUGGCCAUAAUGGGUUAAUAUGAUUAAGUUUGCCUCUUUGAACAUCAGGAAGUUGAAAAAGAGAAUUAUUGGCUAGCAACAGAUACGGAGUGGAUUAGAUCUAAAGAUUUUCCCCAUGUGUUCAAAUCAUCUUUGUCAAAUAAAAAAAGGGGGUGUUGCUACUUUAAUUUCUAGUAGGUUAGCCUUUAAGCUGAUACAUCAGCACUCCGAUACUGAACUUAGGUUUUACAUGCUUAUAUGUGAAAUUUACAACCAAAACUUAUACAAUAGUUAAUUUGUAUGCCCCUAACCAUUCUCCAACUAGAUUUAUACAGAAGAUUGUCUCCCGGGCUGAGAGAAUAAAGCAGAGAAGAAUUAUAUUUUUAGGAGAUUUCUAUUGUUUACUGGGUCCCACCAUGGACAGGAACAAAUCAAAUAAAUAUGAUAGACAAAGCCAAACAAUAAACCUUGCUAGACGUUUUAACGAAAUUUUGAGGAAUAAUAACCUCUUGGAUUUAUGGAGAGUCUGGCACCCCCAAGAAAGGGACUACUCCUGUUUUUAAAGCUCUCAUAAUGUAUAUUCUAGAAUAGACUACAUUCUAGUGGAGGGAGAUAUAACAAAGAUGACUUUAAAAAUUAUGAUAACUACUAUCCUAUGGUCAGAUCACAAUGCAAUCAUUAUGGUCAUUAAUGAUAAAUUUCUUAAAACAAGAUCUAAUUGGAGAUUAAAUUAAUGCAUUAUACAAAAUAAACAAAAUCUAAAUCUGAUAAAGGAAGUUACAGAGCUUUAUUUUAAAGAAAACUAUUCAAUAAUUUUUCUUAUAGUGAGUGUGAUACUUUCAUGAAAAAGAUGCAGGGCCAAUAACUGUAAUAGGAUAUAAAUAUAUUUUUUGUAUAAAAAAAUGAAUAUAGGAUGAUCUGGUGUGCUUAUAAGUGUACUAUUAGAGGACACCUAAUUAAAUUGGGUAGCCAAGAAAAAAGACGAAACAACUUGAAUUUAUCAGAAUUGUAUAUAGAUUUGGAUCGUAUAGAGAAUGAAAACAGGAGUAGCCCGUCAAAGAAAGGGAGUUAUAGGGUAAAGGAAGUUAGGGAUAAAAUUAAUAACAUCUUAAUUCAAAAAGCAAAUUAUACUCUUGAUCGACCUCAAAGAACAUAUUAUUAAGGGAAUAAAUUAAUGUCUAAUAGAUUAAAAAACAACAGAGCUAAACAAAUAGUUACUAAGAUUACUCAGGGCAAUGACAGCCUUCUCAUCCCAGAAAAAAAUGGUGAGGCCUUUCAAACUUUUUACUCGGCCCUAUAUAACUUACUGGAGAGACAGAUAUAGCAGGUUUUCUUAACAAAUGUAAUUUUCUCGGAAGAGCAAUUGGUUGCACUUAAUGAAUAAAUUAAUAUAAAUGAAGUAGGAACAGCUGUAAGAAAACUUAAUGUAAAUAAAAACAAGGUGGAGUAUCUUACAUAUAGUUUGUAUAUUCCAAGGAAUCAAAGAAUGAGAUCCUAUAAGGAAAACAGGAAAAGCAAACACUAGUGCAAUAUUGCCUGCAUAUGUAGAUGAAAUAAAAUAGAAAUAGGCAUUUCACACUCACAAGUGUAGAGCUGUUGGCUUAAACUCUAGGCGUUGUGGGAUUAUUCAGGGUCCCACUCCCUCCUCUGUAUGGUAUGGAAUUUGCCACUCUUUGAUGGUAUUCACCACUCCAGGAGUUUUCCAAAAUGCUUUAUUUAGCCAAACAAUGUUAAAAAUGAUAAGACAAUAUGUAAUAAAAAUAAAAAGUCAUUACAAGAUGUUAGUAAGUGCUUUCAAAGUGCAAAACGCGUUUCACCCCUCCUGAGGGCUUCCUCAGUUCCUCUAUUCCAAUGUUUCUUGCUGUCUUGUUUUAAAUCUUGAAAAGCCUGCCAUUCCCCAGGUGUUAUCAGUUCCGAGCUGAUAUUUCCGGGUCUGCGUACGCACGAUUUCCAUGCGUCCAACGUGCUGCCAUGCGUCCGAAUUGUUUCCGGUGAUUGGAACGCAUCCCUACGCUCCAUUUCGAUCAGCUUUGCUUCCUGUAGGCUGUGCAUGUAUUUUUCUAUUUGGAACGCAUUAUUUCAAGCCGUGACAUGAACACAUGGGAAAAUUUUAGAGGGGCCUGUCAUCUCCAAGAUAGAAUUAUUUCAGGUCUUCCUUUAACUCAUCCGAUAUACAAUAUCGUUGAUCUAAAUCUUUCCAACUGGACAAAGGCUGGCCUUACGAAAAUUUAAAAUCUUCUUGAUAAGGACAGGAUUAAGGACUUUACUUUGUUAAAUGCAGAUUUUGGUUUACAUAAUAAAUAAAUCUUUAACUAUAUUAGAAAUAAAAGGUUAUCUCCAAGAACAUGUAAUUAUGGACAGACCAGUCAAACAUAUUAAAUUAGAAAACAAUAUUAAGAGUAUGAAAAUGAAUAAACUAGUUGCAGGCUGUAUGGAUUUGAUUAAAGGACCACUAUAGUGCCAGGAAAACAUACUUGUUUUCCUGGCACUAUAGUGCCUUGAUGGUGCCCCCACCCUCAGGGACCCCCUCCCGCCCGGCUCUGGAAGGGGGAAAGGGGUUUAAACUUACCUUUUUCCAGCGCUGGGCGGGGAGCUCUCUGCCUCCUCUCCUCCUCCGUUCCUCCUCCUGGGCUGAAUGCGCACGCGCGGCAAGAGCUGCGCGCGCAUUCAGCCCGUCGCAUAGAAAAGCAUUUACAAUGCUUUCCUAUGGACGCUUGCGUGCUCUCACUGUGAAAAUCACAGUGAGAAGCACGCAAGCGCCUCUAGUGGCUGUCAAUGAGACAGCCACUAGAGGCUUUGGGGGAAGGCUUAACCCAUUAAUAAACAUAGCAGUUUCUCUGAAACUGCUAUGUUUAUAAAAAAUGGGUUAACCCUAGAAGGACCUGGCACCCAGACCACUUCAUUAAGCUGAAGUGGUCUGGGUGCCUAGAGUGGUCCUUUAAGGGAGACACUAACUUACCUAUUUUACCAGUGAUAAAAAAAAAUGGAACUAAAAAUUGAUAUUAGUUGUGAUGAAUGGACAGAAUCAAUGAAAAUGGUCAACAAAAAUAUUAAUUGCUUAAAUCUGUCAGAGAUACUUUAUGAACUUUUAAAUAAAUGGUACCUGGUCCCAAGUACGCUGUCUAGAAUUUACCCCAACGCCUCAGAUACAUUUUGGAGAUGUCUAGUGCACAAAGGAGAUUUCCUGCAUAUAUGGUUGGAAUGUCAACAUAUUCAACUAUUUUGGAAAAUGUUACACAUAAAAAUUCAAACUUUACUUUCAAAAACUAUUGAUUUUAACACCAGUAUUAUUACAAUUAAAAAUUAAAAACAUUUUUGGUCCCGCCUCAACUAUUGUGAUACACAUCUUGGCAGCUGCCAAGAUGUUGAUUGCCAGAAGCUGGAAGACGGUUAUAGCACCUUGCUGGAAUCAGGUCAUUAUUCAAAUUAUUCACCAAAUUAAAAUGGAGAUGGGCAUGUGUAGAACAUCAUAUGAUGUGUAUAAAAAGUGGUUGGAACAGGUAGAGAAAAUAUAAGUUAGAGAUACCCUCCUAUGACGUUAAGCGGUAAAUGUUUUCAUCUUGGAACAUGACUGAGCCAACCCUCUCUCCCGCCCCCUCCUUCCCGUAGGAAACUUAGAUUUGUGUUUUUCUUUUUUUCUUUUAUUUUGUUUUAUUUUUUUUGGGUGUGUUAGUUUUGUUCGGUGAUAUCCUGAUUGUUUUUAAUAUUAACCAAAAUUAUGUCAAUGGAUAAAUUGGCUUAAAGUUUUGUGCGUCUCAAUAAAUGUUUGUAUAAUUGAAAAUUUAAUAAAAAAAACUAUAUAUUAAAAAAAUAAUAAAAGUUCAAGCAUUAUUUAGACUUAUGUCUUAAAUAGAAUUACGAAAUACUCAGAUUACUGAUAUCUAAAUAUGUGUCUUUAUUGCAAUGAACGCUAUAAUUGCACUUUAUUCUUUAUUUAUCAUAGUUAUAUUUACAAUUGCAUUUAAUGGUAUGUUUUGUUGUAAUGAGCAUUUGUACCAGCCUUUUGCCCCCUUUUAAAAUGGACACUCAAUCUUUUUUUUUUUUUUUCUCAUUGUUUUGAUGCUGGUUACACAUAUAUUUGCCUAGAGGUUAUAUUUGUUUUGUUUUUUGUCACUUUAACCAUGAUGUCACGCUACUGCCACAACAUUAUAGACUCCUCCAGCAUUAAUAAUUUACAACCAAAUAAGUAAUGUCAUCAUUUAAUUACAUAAAGAUAGAAAUAUACAUUUGUAACACCUAUCUAACUUUUGACUUCUUUAAAUACGGCCGCUGAGCCAUUACAGCUUUACAGGCAUAUUGUAAGAAUACAAGCCUAAAGCAUCACGUUAUUUCCUUUUUCCAUGAUACUAUACCACCAAUGAAUUAUUCUGCAGGAGGUGUGGCUUACAAUUGAAAAUAACACCAGUCCUUCAUGGACACAAUAGAGACCUAUACCAUUGGCGUUUAGAAUACAACGUACGCCAUUGUGGCAAUAUGUGCGUUCCAGACUGACUUGAAAUUAGCCUCCCCAAACCAUCAAUGAUUCAUCACCGCAGCGUCACUUCCGGUGUGAUGCGUGUGUAUCAGCCUGGGAACAGGAAACCGGAAAUUAGACUCACCAGGAAGCCAUCUACAAGUACUUACUUCACCAUUGGAGUUUUUCUCUUUUUUGUAUUUACCUCCACAAAUACCACGUAUAUUACAUUGCAUUUGGAGCACCGGUGUUGACCACAUCACUAUAUAUCCUUACAUGGGGAUUAUACCGUCCAUGCGUAUUACAGCUGAGCUCUAAUGUAGCUCAAUAAAACCAAACUGGUCGAGACUGCACGGGGCCUCAGGAAAAUCACGUUGCGGCAGCUGCAGUCGCUGCUGGGGAAAUUGAACUGUGCAUGCCAGAUCAUGCCCAUGGGUAGGGUCUUUAAUAGGCGUUUUUCGGCAACAACAUCGGGGGUCGUUAGGCAGCGCCACUUCGUGCGCCUUACCCGACUACUGUGAGAGGAUUUGGUGGUUUGGAGUGCUUUUCUCAGCGGGUAUAAUAGCAGGUCCUACUGGCAGAAGCCAGAGGUUAUGAAUUCCGACCUCCGUCUGAUCACUGAUGCGGCGGGGUCAGUGGGGUUUGGGGCCAUCCUGGUGUGUGGAGUCCUGGCCGGAGUCUUGGCAUUCGGUGGGUUUGACUAGGAACCUGGCGUUCCUGGAGCUGUUCCCUUUUGUGGUGGCGGUUCAUCUAUGGGGUGCUUUUCUACGGGAUCGGCGAGUCGUGUUCCACUGCGAUAACCUGGGGGGUGGUCUUUGCCAUUAACAACUUAACAGCUUCCUCCCCUCCGAUAGUGCGACUUUUGCAGCGUUUGUUUUGCGCUGCUUGUCCUUAAAUGUUACUUGUAGAGAUGUGCACAUCCUGGGUGUUAAGAACAUAACAGCAGAUACCCUUUCUCGUUCCCAGUGGCAGGUGUUACGGGCGGCCGUACCGGACACUGAAGGUUCAUCCUGCCCGACAGAACUGUGGUACCUUGGCCUGCACGAGUGAGGGCUUGGAUCGGCAGCCACUUGGGCUUGGUAUGGUAAGGCAUGGGGUGAGUGGGUGGCCUUUGAACGGGAGAGUGGUGGUUUUGGCUCGUUCGACUAUCAGGUUCAAGGUCUGUUGAAUCUUUUGUGGUGGUGGGAAGCUUUUUGAUAGGUCCUCUUGUAAGUCCUUAUUUACAUGCCCACAAGACGGCAUUUAGAAAGCAAACUUAAUCUUUCACAGCAUAAAGUUAAAUGAGUAAAAGUUCAUAUAACUCUAGCACAGUAAUAAACACAUAAGCAGCAAAAGUCAUUAUCACCUAAACUUUUAUUUAAAAGUUAAACUUUAUUACACAUUUCUUAAAAAAUUAUUGAUUUAUUAAAAAAAUUAAUAAAUGAAUAAAUAGAGGAAUCUCCUCCAGAAUUAUUUAGUUCAUGGGGAAUGUAUGCUUACUAAUGCAAGGAGCCUAUAUAACAAAAUGGGGGAACUAGAGGCAAUAGCAUACACUAAACAUAUAUGAUAUAAUAGGCAUAACAGAAACAUGAUGGGAUGAGACACAUGACUGGGCAGUUAACUUAAAUGGGUACACCUUAUUUAGGAAGGAUAGGAAAAACAAGAAGGGUGGUGGGGUAUGUCUGUAUGUCAGCCAUGAGAUAAAGUCAAAUCUUAGGCAUGUGGAGUGUGACGAGAAAAAUGUGGAAGCUUUAU
Pelobates cultripes (western spadefoot toad) is the source of this 14408-nucleotide non-coding RNA. NCBI's taxonomy places the organism in Eukaryota, Metazoa, Chordata, Amphibia, Anura, Pelobatidae. The record is from the annotation of a GenBank genome assembly.